Long non-coding RNA from Gymnogyps californianus (California condor), 1078 nucleotides. RefSeq lists it as uncharacterized. The transcript has 3 exons. NCBI's taxonomy places the organism in Eukaryota, Metazoa, Chordata, Aves, Accipitriformes, Cathartidae. The record is from RefSeq and is a predicted model, not a curated record.
CGGCUUGUUACAGAGGCUCCUCACGGUCCCCUCCUGCCAAGGACAAGCAGUCCUCUAUGAAAAACAGGCUGCCAGGGUAGGAGAGCCAGCCUGCCCGGAGCACGGGGAGCUGUGGCGGUGGUUGGCAGAGCCAGGGCCUCUUGCUGCAGGAGGUGCAGGACGGACCCAGCCAUCAACGGCUCCAGAGCGCAAAGAGGGCAGGCGCGCUGAGCGGGGACAGCCAGCAGUACUCCACCACGCUGUACAGCGCGUAGCCCAGCAGCAAACCAAAGAGCACGUCCGUCAUGUUGUGCCUGCCCAGCAUGACCCUUGAAACGCUGACGAUGAGAGCCCAGAGCACCACCAGGACCCGCAGCGGGACGGCGAGCACCAAGUGGCGCAGGAUGAAGCGGCAGACCAGGGCAGCUCUGGUGGCGUGGCCCGACGGAAAGGAGUACUUGUCCACUGAGAUGGUGACGAACAUGUCCAUCUUGUUGUGGGUGGGCCGUGGCCGCUUGAUGAGCCCUUUCACCACUGCCACCAGCACAAGAUCCAGCAGCAAUGCUAGGAGACAGCAACAGUACCGCCUGCAGGGAGCCCAAGGGUGCGGACGUCUGUGUGCCAGAGCAGCUUUUCAGGGAACGGGCUGGUGUCUCAACACUAGGCAGCUGCACCUGGAAUGUGCUGUUCUGAGAAGCUGAGGGACUAAAAGAGAGUUCAGCUCCCUGAAAGUUUUGUGCAACUACAGGAGCAGUUUAGCUGUCAGGAGUUUCACAGGGUGUGGUUGGAGCUGUGACAGAUGAGCCAUACCCACACCACCGUGCCCUGCAGCUGCAGGGUUACUCGCUCUGGUACCAGACACCCCAGAUAAGCCUGCACCAGUUACUCAAAAUCAGCUGCCUCCCUCGGGGCUGGAGGAGGCUGAGGUUUACUCGGCUCUGCCCCAUCCUUCAGGUCCCAUCCUCCCCCCUCGGCUCCAGCCAGCCCCUGCCUGCAGAGCCUUUCGGUGAGCCCCCAGCCUCACCAAAGAGCAGGUUGAGCAGCACCUCCCUGGCCGCUGAGCUGUCGCUCUGGCAGAGCCCGUAGAAGGUGCCGAGCA